Molecule: ribosomal RNA, 398 nt
Filed under: uncultured bacterium
Lineage: Bacteria
Description: bacterial SSU rRNA
Rfam family: Bacterial small subunit ribosomal RNA
Source: RNAcentral
GGCGAACGGGUGAGUAACACGUGGGCAACCUGCCCCCGGCUCUGGGAUAACUCCAAGAAAUUGGGGCUAAUACCGGAUAUGACUGCUGACCGCAUGGUCUGGUGGUGGAAAGAUUUAUCGGCUGGGGAUGGGCCCGCGGCCUAUCAGCUUGUUGGUGGGGUAGUGGCCUACCAAGGCGACGACGGGUAGCCGGCCUGAGAGGGUGACCGGCCACACUGGGACUGAGACACGGCCCAGACUCCUACGGGAGGCAGCAGUGGGGAAUAUUGCGCAAUGGCGGAAGCCUGACGCAGCGACGCCGCGUGGGGGAUGACGGCCUUCGGGUUGUAAACCUCUUUCAGCAGGGACGAAGCGGAAGUGACGGUACCUGCAGAAGAAGCACCGCCAACUACGUGCCA